AUGGCGUCGACGGCGUCGGCGCGGUCGAUGCGGCCCCACCCGCCGCUGGUCUGCCACAUGCCGUUGAGCACCCGGCAGAUGGCCAGCGACGAGUCGGUCCCGCCGCGGCUGCUGGCGAGCGUCGCCGCCCUCGCGCCCGGGGACGCCGACUCCACCGCCGGGCCCACGAACCCCGCGCACCUCGCGGGCCGCACGCGGCGCGGGGAAGGGGGCGCCGGCGAGAGCGCGCGGGCUGCUGACGACGACAUGGCUGGCACGGGCACGGGCACGAGCCAGCGUUGGCGCGCGCGCGAGAGAGAUAAGGCGCUCGUGGCUUCAGACUUCAGUACAAAGAAAGAAAUUAACUUGUGUAAAUUACUCUUAGUGACUUGGUCUGAAAAAAUUACUGUACUUAGUGACUAA
RNAcentral lists this ribosomal RNA (402 nucleotides) under Triticum aestivum (bread wheat). RNAcentral describes it as "partial small subunit ribosomal RNA". The record is from RNAcentral. Lineage: Eukaryota; Viridiplantae; Streptophyta; Magnoliopsida; Poales; Poaceae.